RNAcentral lists this ribosomal RNA (484 nucleotides) under uncultured bacterium. RNAcentral's name for it is "partial 16S ribosomal RNA". It matches the Rfam family "Bacterial small subunit ribosomal RNA", at positions 30 to 507 of the family's 1533-position model. The record is from RNAcentral.
AUUGAACGCUGGCGGCAGGCCUAACACAUGCAAGUCGAGCGGAUGAAGGGAGCUUGCUCCUGGAUUCAGCGGCGGACGGGUGAGUAAUGCCUAGGAAUCUGCCUGGUAGUGGGGGAUAACGUCCGGAAACGGGCGCUAAUACCGCAUACGUCCUGAGGGAGAAAGUGGGGGAUCUUCGGACCUCACGCUAUCAGAUGAGCCUAGGUCGGAUUAGCUAGUUGGUGGGGUAAAGGCCUACCAAGGCGACGAUCCGUAACUGGUCUGAGAGGAUGAUCAGUCACACUGGAACUGAGACGCGGUCCAGACGCCUACGGGAGGGAGCAGUGGGGAAUAUUGGACAAUGGGCGAAAUCCUUAUCCAGCCAUGCCGCGUGUGUGAAGAAGGUCUUCGGAUUGUAAAGCACGUUAAGUUGGGAGGAAGGGCAGUAAGUUAAUACCUUGCUGUUUUGACGUUACCAACAGAAUAAGCACCGGCUAACUUCGUG